Maylandia zebra (zebra mbuna) is the source of this 6670-nucleotide RNA transcript. It is a transcript of the gene named rho-associated, coiled-coil containing protein kinase 2a, with no coding region annotated. The record is from RefSeq and is a predicted model, not a curated record. NCBI's taxonomy places the organism in Eukaryota, Metazoa, Chordata, Actinopteri, Cichliformes, Cichlidae.
GAGAGUACAGCCUCCGUGUGUGUUGGUGUGUAGAUGUGAGUGUACGGUGAGGAAUUCAGCUGCUGGAUGAGUUUUUUCUGCGAGAGAAACUUAUUUUUUUUGGCGUCCACGUCUUGAAGCGAGGAGGACAAAUGCGAAAAUGCGAGAAGAAAUCCAGGAAGAGGCGAGCGAGUGCUUAUUAAAAAUUCAGCGCGGGAGAACAGACGUUAUUACCCGUUCGGAGGACUUGUGGCAGCACCGAGGAUAAACUCCACUUCUAACGGGAUAAAGCGUUGUUGAAUGGGGUGAAACGAAGCGGAUUUUUUCCCUCCUAAAGAUAGCAAGUCCAGGAAGAAAAAAAAAUCCAAGCGGUCGAAACCCAGAAGGAAAGGGGAGUAAAAAGGGGGCAAAGAAAACGCCCUGCUUUGCUGCCUGUUGCUGGUAAAUUCAAACUUUAUCGCCAAGUUUAAAAAAUGCAUCUUCCACUUAACGAGAGGUGAUAGUUCAAGUCGUCAUUCCUAGCUUAAAGCCGGGCGGGUUUGCUAACUGACGGCCCCCUCUCACUUGGCAAGUUUUAUGUUUUUGGAAGCAUUGGGAAUAUUUUCUCCUCGUUGUGCACACCAUUCCUGUUGGAAGCGAUUUGGGUGGGCUGGGAGCCCAAAGGCUGCUCCGCCAGGCCUGCGGCCAUUAGCCAGGAACAAAGAGGGUUCACAUGUAAACUCAAACAGUUUGGAAAAGCCUCUUCAUUAGUUUUUAAAACCCAACUUUUAACCACCAACGACGGCGCAGUCAUGUCGCUGGGCGCCGAGAGGAGGAUGGAAACCCGGCUGAAGAAGCUGGAGGACAUGAUCAGAGACCCCAGAUCUGCCAUAAACCUGGAAAGUUUACUGGACUCCAUGAAUGCGCUGGUCUUAGACUUGGGCUACCCUGCACUACGAAAGAACAAAAACAUUGAGACCUUCUUAAACAGAUAUGAGAAAGUCAUUGGCCAGAUUCGAGAUCUGCAGAUGAAGUCUGAAGACUUUGACAGAGUUAAAGUGAUUGGCCGAGGAGCAUUUGGUGAAGUGCAACUGGUCAGACAUAAAGCCUCACAGAAGGUCUACGCAAUGAAGCUGCUCAGCAAAUUUGAGAUGAUAAAACGCUCAGACUCAGCAUUCUUCUGGGAAGAGAGAGAUAUCAUGGCUUUUUCCAACAGUCCCUGGGUUGUGCAGUUGUGCUCUGCCUUCCAAGAUGACCACUACCUCUACAUGGUGAUGGAGUACAUGCCAGGAGGCGACCUGGUUAACCUCACCAGCACCUAUGAUGUACCGGAGAAGUGGGCCAAGUUCUACACAGCGGAGGUGGUGAUGGCCCUGGACGCCAUUCACUCCAUGGGCUUCAUUCACCGCGAUGUGAAGCCAGACAACAUGCUGCUGGACAGACUCGGACACCUGAAGCUGGCUGACUUUGGCACUUGCAUGAAAAUGGACUCGACCGGCAUGGUGCACUGUGACACAGCUGUUGGGACUCCAGACUACAUCUCGCCAGAAGUGCUAAAAUCCCAGGGAGGAGAUGGCUAUUAUGGGAGAGAAUGCGACUGGUGGUCCGUAGGGGUCUUCAUUUACGAGUUGCUCGUCGGUGACACGCCGUUCUACGCAGACUCUUUGGUGGGAACAUACAGUAAAAUCAUGGACCACAAGAACUCCCUCAAUUUUCCAGAUGAUGUGGAGAUCUCCAACAAUGCCAAGAAUAUCAUCUGUGCCUUCCUGACUGACAGGGAGGUGCGAUUAGGCAGAAACGGCGUGGAGGAAAUCAAGCGACAUCCUUUCUUCAAAAAUGACCAGUGGACCUUUGACACCAUCAGAGACACGGUUGCCCCUGUGGUCCCAGAGCUGAGCAGUGACAUAGACACCAGCAACUUUGAUGAGAUAGAAGACGACAAAGGCGAUGUAGAAACCUUCCCCACACCUAAGGCAUUUGUCGGCAAUCAGUUACCCUUUGUUGGCUUCACCUACUUCAAAGAAGACCAGUUAUUAAAUGCUUCCAACAACUCAGUGGCUCAUGAGAAUUCAAAAGGGGAGUCAGCAGCACUGCAGAAGAAACUUCGCCACCUAGAGAUGCAGAUGAAUAAUGACAAGCAAGUCAAAGAUGAUCUAGAGCAAAAAUACAGGGCCACCACCACUCGUCUGGAAAAGCUCUCCAAAGAACUUGAGGAAGAGGUGAGCAGCAGAAAGAACCUGGAGUCGAGUCUGAGGCAGCUGGAGAGGGAGAAGGCUCUGCUGCAGCACAAAAGCCUGGAGAGCCACCGCAAGGCUGAGAGCGAGGCCGACAGGAAGCGCUGUCUGGAGAACGAAGUCAACAGCCUCAGAGACCAGCUGGAUGACAUGAAGAAGCGAAACCAAAACUCUCACAUUUCCAAUGAGAAGAACAUUCACCUCCAGAAACAGCUGGAAGAAGCCAACACGUUGUUGCGGGCCGAGACGGAGGCGGCGACGAGACUCCGCAAAGCCCAAACUGAGAGCAGCAAGCAGCUGCAGCAGCUGGAGGCCAACGUGCGCGAGCUGCAGGACAAAUGCUGCCUGCUGGAGCGCAGCAAGCUGAGUCUGGAGAAGGAAUGCAUCAGCCUGCAGGCUGCGCUAGAGACGGAGAGGAGGGAGCACAGCCAGGGCUCGGAAACCAUCACUGACCUGAUGGGACGCAUUUCUGGCCUGGAAGAGGAGGCCCGUCAGCAGAAACAGGCUUUAUCCAAAGCUGAGACUGAGAAGAGGCAGCUUCAAGAGAAACUCACUGAUCUGGAGAAGGAGAAGAGCAACAAGGAGAUCGAUUUGACCUACAAGCUGAAGGUGCUGCAGCAGGAGCUGGAACAGGAGGAGGCCUCUCAUAAGGCCACCAGAGCAAUGCAGGCAGACAAGAGCAAGAUCAAGGUCACCAUCGAGGGCGCCAAGUCAGAGUCCAUGAAGGAGUUGGAGCAGAAGCUGGCAGAGGAGCGAGCUGCCAAACUGCGGCUGGAGAACAGAAUACUAGAGCUGGAGAAGCAGAGCAGCAUGAUGGACUGUGACAACAAACAGGCCCUGCAGAAGCUAGACGAGCUGCGCAGACACAAGGAUCACCUUACUGAGGAGGUGAAGAACCUGACACUGAAGAUCGAGCAGGAGACCCAGAAGCGUAACCUGACUCAGAACGACCUGAAGGCUCAAAACCAGCAGCUCAGUGCUCUGAAAACCUCCGAGAAGCAGCUCAAGCAGGAAACUAAUCACCUGCUGGAUAUUAAGCGCAGCUUGGAGAAGCAGAACCAGGAGCUGCGCAAAGAAAGACAGGACACAGAUGGACAAAUGAAGGAGUUACAAGACCAGUUAGAGGCUGAGCAGUAUUUCUCAACUCUCUAUAAGACCCAGGUUCGUGAGCUGAAGGAGGAAUGUGAGGAGAGGAACAAACUCUACAAAGAAGUGCAGCAGUCUCUGCAGGAGCUGCAGGAGGAGAGGGACUCUUUGGCAGCACAGCUGGAGAUCACUCUGACAAAGGCUGACUCGGAGCAGCUGGCGCGCUCCAUCGCUGAGGAGCAGUACUCCGACCUCGAGAAGGAGAAGAUAAUGAAGGAGCUGGAGCUGAAGGAGAUGAUGGCUCGCCAUCGCCAGGAGCUCUCUGAGAAGGACAUCACCAUCAGCUCUCUGGAAGAAGCUAAUAGGACCCUGACGAGUGAUGUCGCCAAUCUGGCCAAUGAGAAGGAGGAACUGAACAACAAACUGAAGGAGGCAAUAGAGGAAACUGAGAAGUCGAAGGACUGGGAGCAGCAGAUAAGCCAGAUGAAGCAGGCAUUUGAGAAGCAGCUGCAGUGCGAGAGGACGCUAAAAACCCAGGCCGUCAAUAAGCUGGCAGAGAUCAUGAACAGGAAGGAAGUGCGUGGCGGAGGCAGCCGCCGUGGUAACGACACAGACAUGCGGCGAAAGGAGAAGGAGAACAGGAAGCUGCAGCUUGAGCUCAGGUCAGAGAAGGAAAAGCUGAACAGCACCAUCAUCAAAUAUCAGAAGGAGAUCAACGAAAUGCAAGCACAACUGGCAGAUGAGAGCCAGAUGCGCAUUGAGAUGCAGAUGGCUCUGGACAGUAAGGACAGUGACAUUGAGCAGCUGAGAAAUCUCCUGCAGACGCUCAGUGUUCAGUCGAUGGACUCCGCCAGCGUCAGCAGCGGGCCCGAGUUUGAUGCUGAUGAUGCGUACACAGAAAUGAGGCUCGAGGGCUGGCUGUCUCUCCCCGUCAGAAACAAUACCAAGAAGUUUGGAUGGGAGCGAAAGUACGUUGUAGUAAGCAGCAAGAAGAUUCUUUUCUACAACAGCGAGCAAGACAAAGAGCAGUCCAUCCCCAACAUGGUGCUCGAUAUAGAUAAACUCUUCCAUGUGAGACCUGUUACUCAGACAGAUGUGUAUCGAGCUGACUCCAAAGAAAUUCCCAGGAUAUUCCAGAUUCUUUAUGCCAAUGAAGGUGAAAGCAAAAAGGAGCCAGAGUUUCCCGUGGAGCCGCAUCCCAUUGGAGAAAAGUCCAAUUACGUCUGCCACAAAGGCCACGAGUUCAUUCCCACCCUCUACCACUUCCCCACCAACUGUGAGGCCUGCACAAAGCCACUGUGGAACAUGUUCAAGCCGCCCCCUGCUCUGGAGUGCCGGCGUUGCCACAUCAAGUGCCACAAGGAUCACAUGGACAAGAAGGAGGAGAUCAUCGCCCCCUGUAAAGUGAACUACGACAUUUCUACAGCCAAGAACCUGCUCCUGCUCGCCGUGUCCCAGGAGGAGCAGCAGAAGUGGGUGAGCCGGUUGGUCAAGAAGAUUCCCAAAAAGCCUCCACACCCAGAACAGUUCGCACGCUCCUCACCGCGGACCUCCAUGAAGGUUCAGCCCAGCCAGUCCAUGAGGAGGCCCAGUCGACAGCUCCCCACCAGCAAGAGCAGCCCUCGCAGGUCAAAUGGCUUCAAAAUAAAGCGAGAAGAUUCCAGCAGUACCUGGUACAAAUGACAGCUCCUUCCUUCUCCUCCUCCUCCUUGUUCUUCUUUUGACCAGGUGUUUCCCUGUAAACAUCUCAACUUCUCAGUUUAACCUUGCCCGGGAGUGUGGUGCAUCGACGAGGUGGUGGGAAGAGUUUCUUCCUAAAUCAAAGACUCUAUACAAAGCUCCGUUUGCAGAUCAGCACACUGGACUGGUUUCUCCACUGCCCACUCCACCCUGUCCCGUUUCAGCCUGCGAGAGUUACCAAGUCUGGCAUUUUCCAUUUUUAUUCAGCUUGUUUCCAAGCCACUUAGCAAGCUCACCUCAGCAUCUGCCGUCUUUACAGCAAGCUGGGCGUCUCAUAAACAUAUAACCCAAGUCCUCUCCUGGGUCCUUGGCGAGAGCACUUGUGCAGCUCUUGGAUGCUGGAGUAGCUUGUUCGGCUCCCACACAAUGGAGGAUAGCUCUUAUGAGCCUGACCAAGGCUGACAAGAACAGGGGAACACUUACCUUAACAGUUCUCUCCAGGACAGACAGUUCUGUCUGAUUGAAGCAGCCAGCAGGAAACCACCUCCACACCACCUUUGAGGAUUCUCAUGGCCAAAAGAAAAAAAAGACAAUCUUGUGUUUAAUGAUUGUGAACAAUAUGAAGGGUUUAAUGGGGGAACACUACACUCAGAAGAGUCUGUAUUUUUGUUGGCUUAUGGUGUCUGUACUUUCAAACUCUUUAACAUGAUUGUAGCUUCUUGCUUUUCACAGCUCUGCUUUCAGGUGCGUGUCCAUGGGGAAUCUUGAAUAAGGUACUUAGGAACCAAAUGAGCUGUGACUUCAUGGAAAGUCAUUAAGGCAGCAAAUGAAGCCCAGCUUCCUCUCGGAUAUGAGCAAAUAAUUCUCAGAGUGCCUCUUAUUCAGAUUUCUGACUCAUGCACACGCUGAAUCAUGGGUUUGACGUCAAACGACUACAAAGGGAACAGAAUCCUGCUUGAAAUGGCAUUAGAUUAAGACAUGAAGUCCUCACGAUCCCAUAAUCUCUGCAAACCUGCACUGUCAGUUCUGAGGGUUAAUGUUUACUGAAUUCAAAGGGGUGCACCGUUAAUGCUUUCUGAUCCGAGCUCGGCUCCUUCUGUUGUUUUUGAAUGUACAUCUGGGCUUCACCAGAGACGACACACAGGCAUUGUAUUAUCCAAGUAUACUUGACUGAAGCCGCGCCUUUCAUCACAAACUACUCUUGAGUGAACUUGCAUGCGUUUGCUUUUUCACCCACAUGCCUAGUCAUUUUUAGUCAGUACCAAAAGUGAAAAUGAGGGAAGUUAACCAAUAAGAAGCCGAAAUAAUGAAGGUAUCCAAUCAUAUCCUGAAACCAUGAGUGGAAAUACUGAGCAGCACUAUUCCAUUGAAGUUUUUUCUAAAAGUGUUUGUCCUUAUUUUUGUAUUAAAGGAAACCAAACUCUGAGUUUGGGCACAUUGUCGUAUGUAUGUGACUUAGUUAGCAGGUGGAGAGUAAACUGAGUGUGUGUGUGUGUGUGUGUGUGUGUGUAUGUGCACUCUCCUUUAACCAAGAAGCAUGUUUUAUACAUAUAAAUAUACACAGUAUAUAUUUUACAUGCCAUACAGUGCACAUUAUAUUAUUUAUACAGCCUUGUCAACUUUGUAUUUAAGGGUUCUACAUCCAGAUUGCAUGUUUGCUAUCAAACAGCUCUAUGAUAAUAACCACUUCAACAAUAAAGACAUGGAUGUGC